GAUGAACGCUGACGGCGUGCUUAACACAUGCAAGUCGAACGGAAAGGCCCUGCUUUUGUGGGGUGCUCGAGUGGCGAACGGGUGAGUAACACGUGAGUAAACUGCCCUUGUCUUUGGGAUAACUUCAGGAAACUGGGGCUAAUACCGGAUAGGAGCUCCUGCUGCAUGGGGGGGGUUGGAAAGUUUCGGCGGUUGGGGAUGGACUCGCGGCUUAUCAGCCUGUUGGUGGGGUAGUGGCUUACCAAGGCUUUGACGGGUAGCCGGCCUGAGAGGGUGACCGGCCACAUUGGGACUGAGAUACGGCCCAGACUCCUACGGGAGGCAGCAGUGGGGAAUAUUGCACAAUGGGCGGAAGCCUGAUGCAGCAACGCCGCGUGCGGGAUGACGGCCUUCGGGUUGUAAACCGCUUUCGCCUGUGACGAAGCGUGAGUGACGGUAAUGGGUAAAGAAGCACCGGCUAACUACGUG
This 468-nucleotide ribosomal RNA is filed under the name uncultured bacterium. Its description in RNAcentral is "partial 16S ribosomal RNA". It matches the Rfam family "Bacterial small subunit ribosomal RNA", at positions 28 to 507 of the family's 1533-position model. The record is from RNAcentral.